UAGGGGGCAAGCGUUAUCCGGAUUUACUGGGUGUAAAGGGAGCGUAGACGGCGGUGCAAGUCUGAAGUGAAAGGCGGGGGCCCAACCCCCGGACUGCUUUGGAAACUGCAUGGCUGGAGUGCAGGAGGGGCAAGUGGAAUUCCUAGUGUAGCGGUGAAAUGCGUAGAUAUUAGGAGGAACACCAGUGGCGAAGGCGGCUUGCUGGACUGUAACUGACGUUGAGGCUCGAAAGCGUGGGGAGCAAA
Molecule: ribosomal RNA, 245 nt
Filed under: uncultured bacterium
Lineage: Bacteria
Description: partial 16S ribosomal RNA
Rfam family: Bacterial small subunit ribosomal RNA
Source: RNAcentral